ACUUACCCAUGAUCAUGUGAGCACAGCCAGGACCCCACCCACCCGGCCCCCCCCAGUCAGCCUAGGUUGUCUCUGGCCACCCCGGGGUGGGCUGGGGGGGAGGCGGGCAGGUUGUACCUGAUGUGAGGGAGUCAUGAGUCUUGAUCCGAGACUUCUUUUCGAUGCUUUAAGAGAGGGCACAGGAUGUGGGAGGCCCCACUUUGUCCCCAUUGGGCCACGUGGUCCCCGGGUUGGUGGGGGACAGCAGGACUUGGGGAGGGGGCUGAGGCCCCAGUUCCGCAAGGUGACCCAUAGUGUCCUCGCCAACUUCCCGAGGGCCCCACAGUCAACUGGUCACCUGAAAGGGGGGACCCUCACCCUGGGGAUGGUUCCAUCUUGGUACACUGGAGGUCCUUUGUGCCAGCAACGGUAUCCGGGCAGCAUCGGGUUCCGAGCUCCGAGCCACCGAGCGCUUGUCUUGGGGGAGGUCCCCAUCCUGCCAGCAGUGCAGGCCUCCCCCAGCGCCUCCUGCUGCGCCUGGCUCAGGUGGAACAGCCAUUGCGAUGUGUGUCCUCACGGUGGCCAGAGCGGUGGGCUUUGUCCCCAUUCUCUGCAGGAGAGGGGCGGGGCCUCCCAGCCGCCCAGCUUGAGGGACCCUUGAAGAUGGCCUUUCCACACCGGCCUGGAAACUGGCGCUGUGGUUCCGAGGACAGCCGUGGAGCGGGACGAUGAUUCUCCGGGGUUGAGCCGAGCGUUUGAGAAGUUAAGCUGUGCCGAUCUCCGAAUGUGACUCAACCGAGGGUGUACAGUGAGUCUGGCAUCGUAGGGGCCCGGAACCUGGUGACUACUGCCGUCCCCAGGGCCACACCCAGGUUCAAGCAAGAAGCGAGAUCUGUUCCAGAAAAUGGAAGGGGGCUUCUCAAAAUGAUGACACGAGAAGGACACAGCGAAUGCGGCAGAAUGUUCGACUGACCUGAGCAGCGGGCGGAAAGCCUGGAGGCCG
This 982-nucleotide long non-coding RNA is filed under the name Equus caballus (horse). Its description in RNAcentral is "lncRNA (ENSECAG00000054238.1)". The record is from RNAcentral. Lineage: Eukaryota; Metazoa; Chordata; Mammalia; Perissodactyla; Equidae.